GACGAACGCUGGCGGCGUGCUUAACACAUGCAAGUCGAACGGAAAGGCCCUGCUUUUGUGGGGUGCUCGAGUGGCGAACGGGUGAGUUACACGUGAGUAACCUGCCAUUGACUUUGGGAUAACCUAAGGACACAGGGGGUAAUACCUGCUAGGAGCUCUUGCUGCAUGGUGAGGGUUGGAAAGAUUAGCCUGUUGGGGGGGGAAUCGCGGAUUAUCAGGUUGUUGGUGUGGUAGUGGGUUACGAAGGCUUUGACGGGUGGCCUGCCUGCGCGGGUGACAGGACACAUUGCGAUGGCGAUACGGCCCGGACUCCUACGGGAGGCAGCAGUGCGGAAUAUUGCACAAUGGGCGGAAGCCUGAUCCAGCAACGCCGCGUCGGGGAUGACGGCAUGCGGGUUGUAAACCGCUUUCGCCUGUGACGAAGCGUGAGUGACGGUAAUGGGUAAAGAAGCACCGGCUAACUACGUG
RNAcentral lists this ribosomal RNA (468 nucleotides) under uncultured bacterium. Its description in RNAcentral is "partial 16S ribosomal RNA". It matches the Rfam family "Bacterial small subunit ribosomal RNA", at positions 28 to 507 of the family's 1533-position model. The record is from RNAcentral.